GGAACGGGCCUUUCAGGCAUCCUCUCCCAAAACUUCUCAGGGCUGGCGUUUCGUCAGCCCUUUCUUUUUGCCCACG
Molecule: small RNA, 76 nt
Filed under: Novosphingobium nitrogenifigens DSM 19370
Lineage: Bacteria; Pseudomonadati; Pseudomonadota; Alphaproteobacteria; Sphingomonadales; Sphingomonadaceae
Description: Makes More Granules Regulator RNA (mmgR)
Rfam family: Makes More Granules Regulator RNA (mmgR)
About the family: SuhB later renamed mmgR (makes more granules regulator) was a putative non-coding RNA found multiple times in the Agrobacterium tumefaciens genome and related alpha-proteobacteria.
Source: Rfam by way of RNAcentral